This 429-nucleotide ribosomal RNA is filed under the name uncultured Clostridium sp. RNAcentral's name for it is "bacterial SSU rRNA". It matches the Rfam family "Bacterial small subunit ribosomal RNA", at positions 355 to 794 of the family's 1533-position model. The record is from RNAcentral. Lineage: Bacteria; Bacillati; Bacillota; Clostridia; Eubacteriales; Clostridiaceae.
UUGGGAAUAUUGGGACAAAUGGGAGGAAACUCUGAUCCAGUGACGCCGCGUGAAGGAAGAAGGUCUUCGGAUUGUAAACUUAUUUUGUCUAGGAAGAAACAAAUGACUGUACUAGAUGAAUAAGCACCGGCUAACUACGUGCCAGCAGCCGCGGUAAUACGUAGGGUGCAAGCGUUAUCCGGAUUUACUGGGUGUAAAGGGCGAGUAGACGGUGUUGCAAGUCAGAUGUGAAAUGCUAGGGCUCAACCUUAGAACUGCAUCUGAAACUGUAAUACUAGAGUGCAGGAGAGGUAAGCGGAAUUCCUAGUGUAGCGGUGAAAUGCGUAGAUAUUAGGAGGAACACCAGUGGCGAAGGCGGCUUACUGGACUGUAACUGACGUUGAGGAGCGAAAGUGUGGGGAGCAAACAGGAUUAGAUACCCUGGGUAGU